CGUGUCAUCACUGUGUAUGUGGUGUGGCCGGCGAACGAUGGCAACCUCGAUCUUUAGGCUGGUGAUCGAUCGAGAGCUUGUCUCUUGAAAUAGAAGCUCGGAGAAGUUCAUUGACUGUGCUUGACAGGGCCACAAUAAUAAGCAUGGACUCUCUAUCCUUCUCUCUGCAUUUGGUUGUCUUCAUUCCAUGUGCUUCUUCUUUGCUGUCCAUCAUUCACAUCUUUGGUUAUUGCUCUGUGUUUGGGGCCCUGCCAGCACGAAGUCGAGGGUGUACGGCAGCAACCGGUGAAACUCCUGCUCUUUCCGCAUCUGCAUUGUUCUCAGCUUGAAAGGUUUGAGUAUGGGUAUAUCCAUGUAAACUUGAUAACCAUGUUGUUUUGCCUUGAACAUGCUGGAUAUGGGCUGUCAUCACUAUUCCUUUGCUGGUCAUUCCUUUUUCCGUGUAGACUGAAUUCAUUUGAAGCCCCAUCUAAGUGCUGUUCUAAUUAGCCGUGA
Long non-coding RNA from Eucalyptus grandis, 495 nucleotides. RefSeq lists it as uncharacterized. NCBI's taxonomy places the organism in Eukaryota, Viridiplantae, Streptophyta, Magnoliopsida, Myrtales, Myrtaceae. The record is from RefSeq and is a predicted model, not a curated record. The transcript has 2 exons.